GGGUUCGCCAAGUUGGGCAGCAUGCAUCAACAGCAUGCGGCGCUGGUGCAAAUCCAGCCAACCCACCA
Molecule: transfer RNA, 68 nt
Filed under: Anoxybacteroides rupiense
Lineage: Bacteria; Bacillati; Bacillota; Bacilli; Caryophanales; Anoxybacillaceae
Description: tRNA-Leu
Source: RNAcentral